UUUCUGUCAUCUUCAGUCAGUUUAACAGCACUGACCUGUCAUUUGAAGAGAGGAACACUGAGUUUCACUCUGCAGCUCUCUCUCUGCUUAGUCUGAACAUACCAGAGCUGCUCAAACGUCACUCAGCAGCUCAUCUGUUCUCCUGCUACGACCAUUCUGAAAAUCUGAGUCGCUCAGAGCACCGGCAGCACAAACUGUAGCAGAAACGUACAGAGAGCCGGCUGCAACCAACACCUCCAGGGUCAAAGACAGAUUUCAUAUCACCCAGAACAGAAACACAAUAAACUCACUUUAAAGCUCAUAUUGUGGAGAGAAAAAAAAAGAACAAGAUGUGACAAAGUUGACUGACACACCCCAGUGUCAGGUCUCUUAUCAGGAAAACAGGGGCACAGUGGAAAGACCACUGCUGUCAGUGAUAGGGACAGUCUGUCAUAAGAGCUGCUUCCUCUUAUCGGCACGGGAGGCGAGUCCUCACAAGCAAAACAGGAGCUCUGAGCCGGUGUUAACUCACCAGAGGCAGCAGAAGAAGGAGCUCUGAAGUCCUGGAGGACCUGCUGCUUCCAUUUAACACGAGGAACCUCUGGACCCUCCGGGCGGCAAACACUGCGGAGCAGAACACUGAUGAUGGGUUUAGAGACGGAGGAUUUGCCAAAACGGGAAGUGGCUACUGCCCUUCCAACUGUAGACGAACAAGCCUGGGAUUAUCCCCGGCGUCGCGUCGCCAAACACGGAAGUGCAGCGAACCAUCAUCCAAGGCUCUCCAUGUCACUCAGGAGUUCGGUCCGUCCCACACGCUUCAGUAAAAGGUUAGUGGCUUUCCUUUUCUCACGUUUUGUCCCACUGUCAAGUCCAGCCACUAACCUUAUUCUCCUGUGUUCAGAACUCCUGAUUCCCGUGUCCUGUACUUCCAGAUCCAGCAUUCACCAUUUAAAUAAAAUUGUUAAAACUGCUUCGGUGUUUGGCUCUGUGAAACUCAAU
Long non-coding RNA from Austrofundulus limnaeus, 978 nucleotides. RefSeq lists it as uncharacterized. The record is from RefSeq and is a predicted model, not a curated record. The transcript is spliced from 4 exons. NCBI's taxonomy places the organism in Eukaryota, Metazoa, Chordata, Actinopteri, Cyprinodontiformes, Rivulidae.